RNAcentral lists this ribosomal RNA (500 nucleotides) under uncultured bacterium. Its description in RNAcentral is "partial 16S ribosomal RNA". It matches the Rfam family "Bacterial small subunit ribosomal RNA", at positions 29 to 523 of the family's 1533-position model. The record is from RNAcentral.
AUUGAACGCUGGCGGCAUGCCUUACACAUGCAAGUCGAACGGCAGCACGGGAGCAAUCCUGGUGGCGAGUGGCGAACGGGUGAGUAAUGUAUCGGAACGUGCCCAGUCGUGGGGGAUAACGUAGCGAAAGCUACGCUAAUACCGCAUACGAGCUAUGGAUGAAAGCGGGGGACCGUAAGGCCUCGCGCGAUUGGAGCGGCCGAUAUCAGAUUAGGUAGUUGGUGGGGUAAAGGCCUACCAAGCCGACGAUCUGUAGCUGGUCUGAGAGGACGACCGGCCAAGUGAGGACUGAGACACGGCCCAGACUCCUACGGGAGGCAGCAGUGGGGAAUUUUGGACAAUGGGCGCAAGCCUGAUCCAGCAAUGCCGCGUGCAGGAAGAAGGCCUUCGGGUUGUAAACUGCUUUUGUACGGGACGAAACGGUCCUGGUUAAUACCCUGGGGUCAUGACGGUACCGUAAGAAUAAGCACCGGCUAACUACGUGCCAGCAGCCGCCGCGG